GACGAACGCUGGCGGCGUGCCUAAUACAUGCAAGUCGAACGAGAGCGACCGGUGCUUGCACUGGUCAAUCUAGUGGCGAACGGGUGAGUAACACGUGGGUAACCUGCCCAUCAGAGGGGGAUAACAUUCGGAAACGGAUGCUAAAACCGCAUAGGUCUUCGAACCGCAUGGUUUGAAGAGGAAAAGAGGCGCAAGCUUCUGCUGAUGGAUGGACCCGCGGUGCAUUAGCUAGUUGGUGAGGUAACGGCGCACCAAGGCCGUGAUGCAUAGCCGAACUGAGAGGGUGAUCGGCCACAUUGGGACUGAGACACGGCCCAAACUCCUACGGGAGGCAGCAGUAGGGAAUCUUCCGCAAAGGACGCAAGUCUGACGGAGCAACGCCGCGUGAGUGAAGAAGGUCUUCGGAUCGUAAAACUCUGUUGUUAGAGAAGAACAAGUGCUAGAGUAACUGUUAGCGCCUUGACGGUAUCUAAACAGAAAGCCACGGCUAACUACGUG
This 498-nucleotide ribosomal RNA is filed under the name uncultured bacterium. RNAcentral describes it as "partial 16S ribosomal RNA". It matches the Rfam family "Bacterial small subunit ribosomal RNA", at positions 28 to 507 of the family's 1533-position model. The record is from RNAcentral.